UAAAUCAUUUUUAAUUGUUUAAGUAGGUGUGACCGAAUUGAACGAUAUUUCAGCGAUAGAUGAUUGAUAGUAACGUGAGUGAAGGUAUGUUAUAUCAGUGGAGUAGCAGCGAUUGGCGCGCUGUACCUUUUGCAUCAUGGCUCUACUACUUUUUAUUCUUAUGAGGUAGCCCGAAAGUUGGGUGAUCUACUUCCUUGCUAUGGGUUGGUGUUGUAGUACCAUCCAGAGACGGGGAGAUAGUGGCGAAAUACUUUUCGCAUUGGCUGGUAGCUGGUUGUUUUGGAAAUAUAUAGAAGUAUAGCCCUAUUUUGGGACGGAUUCUACAAAUAUAGUUUAUUUUGAGUUACAAGAUUCUGUUCUCUUUUAGGAGAUGGUUCCUCCAGGCUAAGCUGGGGGGGCGCUUGAAAAGGAUAAUUGUUGAAGUUUUAGGUUUACAAGUAGGUUUUAAGGAGCCACCUUUAUGGAGUGGGUUACACCACAUAUGAGCCUUUAUUUUAAAUUAUAAUUUAUUUAUCUUUUAGUUGUACGGGACCUUCCCACGAAACUACGAUAGUGGGAGCGUUAAUGUAGAGAUGAGUAGUCGAGAUAGUUGUAAUUAUUUUUUAUUUCAGGGAAAAAAAUAAUAACAUAAGAAUGCGUAUUGGUAAACAAACCUUAAGGAACUCGGCAAAAGAGAGGACCGCCUGUUUAGCAAAAACAUGGCUUUCUGUGCAACAUAGGGGGUCGUGCCUUCCCGGUGGGUAUACGAGCCUAAACGGACGCGGUAAAUCGUGCUAAGGUAGCUAAAUUAUGGCCCAUUAAUUGUGGGUCCUGUGAAUGGUUUGACGAGUCCUCGACUGUCUCAAGGUUGUUUUGGUGAACUUGAAUUGAACGUGCAAAUGCUUUCAUGAGAAAGAAAGACGAGAAGACCCCGUGAAGUUAGAAAUUCCUAUUAUAGCGUGAAUCCACAUUGAUUGGUGUCAGCGUUAGGUAACCAUGGGGUCCCGAAACCUUCGGGUUGAAGGUUCCUGGGCCCCAUGGUUACCAAGCAGAGGAAUAUAGUUUUGAUGAGUUUUGGCUGGGGCAGCAAAGAGGCAAAACAAGACCUUUUUAGUCACAAUACGGAUGCGUUACGAUCCACAGAAAAAAAAGUUGUGAUUAACAGAAGGAGUUACUCCGGGGAUAACAGCGUAAUCUUCCUUGAUAGUUCUUAUAGAUGGGGGGGUUUGCGACCUCGAUGUUGGCUCUGGGUAUCCUGAGGCUUGCAGGCGGUCUCAAGGGUUGGUUCGUUCGCCCAUUAAAACCCGACGUGAGCUGAGUUCAGAUCGGCGAAAGCUAGGUCGGUUUCUAUCUUCUUUCCUUUAAAUUUAGGCGCUAGGGUACGAAAGGACAUUCCGUUUCAGGAUUCAAUCCUGUUGGCAUUGAAUUUAAAAUAA
RNAcentral lists this ribosomal RNA (1415 nucleotides) under Chlamys hastata. RNAcentral describes it as "16S ribosomal RNA". It matches the Rfam family "Bacterial large subunit ribosomal RNA". The record is from RNAcentral. Lineage: Eukaryota; Metazoa; Mollusca; Bivalvia; Pectinida; Pectinidae.